Long non-coding RNA from Liolophura sinensis, 581 nucleotides. RefSeq lists it as uncharacterized. The transcript has 3 exons. The record is from RefSeq and is a predicted model, not a curated record. NCBI's taxonomy places the organism in Eukaryota, Metazoa, Mollusca, Polyplacophora, Chitonida, Chitonidae.
UAGGUCUUUAGGCUGGUGUCUUCUACUUGGACGAGACUUGAUCUGUAACACAGAGAACUGGCCUGGACCUGUAUGAGUACAAAAUUAAUACUGUUAGCAUUGAGACUCCAACGACGCUAGGCCAGUAUAAGAAAAGGAGCUGGAGUCUUUCGGGGCUAGGAUUCGGCUAUGCUUUGCAGGGCUUUUCAAUAUACAGAUUGCAAUGCCAGCCAUCUUUGAGGACAUUUUUGUACAUACCCACAAUUCUCUGCCCAUCUUCUGUGCGCAGUCGUAUGAUCUGCAUCUUUGAGCUGGACCCUCCAGGCAUUGCUGCCAGUACACUCUCGACCUUUCCCCAUACACUGAGGACAGAGCCGGCCAGUACGUGGUACUCCCGCGUCCUCAGUCCAAUCUCACAGGAAACCACUGCUCUUUGCUAGGUACCUUGCGAACACUCUGACUAGAAACCACAGGCAAACCAGUGAGAGCAAGAUUUGAGAAAGCAAAAAGAUUACUCUUCCUUUUGCACUCCACUGGCAGGCAACAAGGAUAUCUGGCACAGAGUGCUAAGAAAUCAUGGAAUACAAAAAUAGCAACUAACA